Molecule: ribosomal RNA, 657 nt
Filed under: uncultured bacterium
Lineage: Bacteria
Description: bacterial SSU rRNA
Rfam family: Bacterial small subunit ribosomal RNA
Source: RNAcentral
ACGAACUUCUUUAUCACCGAGUGCUUGCACUCACCGAUAAAGAGUUGAGUGGCGAACGGGUGAGUAACACGUGGGCAACCUGCCCAAAAGAGGGGGAUAACACUUGGAAACAGGUGCUAAUACCGCAUAACCAUAGUUACCGCAUGGUAACUAUGUAAAAGGUGGCUAUGCUACCGCUUUUGGAUGGGCCCGCGGCGCAUUAGCUAGUUGGUGGGGUAAAGGCUUACCAAGGCAAUGAUGCGUAGCCGAACUGAGAGGUUGAUCGGCCACAUUGGGACUGAGACACGGCCCAAACUCCUACGGGAGGCAGCAGUAGGGAAUCUUCCACAAUGGGCGAAAGCCUGAUGGAGCAACGCCGCGUGGGUGAAGAAGGUCUUCGGAUCGUAAAACCCUGUUGUUAGAGAAGAAAGUGCGUGAGAGUAACUGUUCACGUUUCGACGGUAUCUAACCAGAAAGCCACGGCUAACUACGUGCCAGCAGCCGCGGUAAUACGUAGGUGGCAAGCGUUAUCCGGAUUUAUUGGGCGUAAAGGGAACGCAGGCGGUCUUUUAAGUCUGAUGUGAAAGCCUUCGGCUUAACCGGAGUAGUGCAUUGGAAACUGGGAGACUUGAGUGCAGAAGAGGAGAGUGGAACUCCAUGUGUAGCGGUGAAAUGCGC